RNAcentral lists this transfer RNA (73 nucleotides) under Caudoviricetes sp. RNAcentral's name for it is "tRNA-Ala". It matches the Rfam family "tRNA". Rfam says of the family: Transfer RNA (tRNA) molecules are approximately 80 nucleotides in length. Their secondary structure includes four short double-helical elements and three loops (D, anti-codon, and T loops). Further hydrogen bonds mediate the characteristic L-shaped molecular structure. tRNAs have two regions of fundamental functional importance: the anti-codon, which is responsible for specific mRNA codon recognition, and the 3' end, to which the tRNAs corresponding amino acid is attached (by aminoacyl-tRNA synthetases). tRNAs cope with the degeneracy of the genetic code in two manners: having more than one tRNA (with a specific anti-codon) for a particular amino acid; and 'wobble' base-pairing, i.e. permitting non-standard base-pairing at the 3rd anti-codon position. Lineage: Duplodnaviria; Heunggongvirae; Uroviricota; Caudoviricetes. The record is from RNAcentral.
GGGCUGUUAGAUCAGUUGGGAGAGCGCUGGAUUUGCAUUCCAGAGGUCGUCGGUUCAAGCCCGAUACGGUCCA